UAAACGUCCCAGUUCGGAUUGUAGUCUGCAACCCGACUACAUGAAGCUGGAAUCGCUAGUAAUCGCGGAUCAGAAUGCCGCGGUGAAUACGUUCCCGGGUCUUGUACACACCGCCCGUCACACCAUGGGAGUCGGAAAUGCCCGAAGUCGGUGACCUAACUGAAAGGAAGGAGCCGCCGAAGGCAGGUCUGGUGACUGGGGUGAAGUCGUAACAAGGUAUC
This 221-nucleotide ribosomal RNA is filed under the name uncultured bacterium. RNAcentral describes it as "partial 16S ribosomal RNA". It matches the Rfam family "Bacterial small subunit ribosomal RNA", at positions 1277 to 1500 of the family's 1533-position model. The record is from RNAcentral.